CAGCAGCCACGGGAAUACGUAGGGGGCAAGCGUUAUCCGGAAUUACUGGGUGUAAAGGGAGCGUAGACGGUUAAACAAGUCUGAAGUGAAAUGCCGGGGCUCAACCCCGGAGCUGCUUUGGGAACUGUAGAACUGGAGUGUCGGAGGGGUAAGCGGAAUUCCCAGUGUAGCGGUGAAAUGCGUAGAUAUUGGGAGGAACACCGGCGGCGAAGGCGGCUUACUGGACGACAACUGACGUUGAGGCUCGAAGGCGUGGGUAGCAAACAGGAUUAGAUACCCCCGUAGUCCCUGUCUCUUAUAC
This 301-nucleotide ribosomal RNA is filed under the name uncultured bacterium. RNAcentral describes it as "partial 16S ribosomal RNA". It matches the Rfam family "Bacterial small subunit ribosomal RNA", at positions 509 to 807 of the family's 1533-position model. The record is from RNAcentral.